GCGGGGGUAGCCAAGUCUGGUCAAAGGCGCAGGGCUUAGGACCCUGUCCCGUAGGGGUUCGUGGGUUCAAAUCCCACCCCCCGCA
RNAcentral lists this transfer RNA (85 nucleotides) under Nitrososphaerota archaeon. RNAcentral's name for it is "tRNA-Leu". It matches the Rfam family "tRNA". From Rfam's summary of the family: Transfer RNA (tRNA) molecules are approximately 80 nucleotides in length. Their secondary structure includes four short double-helical elements and three loops (D, anti-codon, and T loops). Lineage: Archaea; Thermoproteati; Nitrososphaerota. The record is from RNAcentral. RNAcentral also lists the same sequence under 2 other names.